RNAcentral lists this ribosomal RNA (157 nucleotides) under Clusia sp. JA 3629. RNAcentral describes it as "5.8S ribosomal RNA". It matches the Rfam family "5.8S ribosomal RNA". From Rfam's summary of the family: 5.8S ribosomal RNA (5.8S rRNA) is a component of the large subunit of the eukaryotic ribosome. It is transcribed by RNA polymerase I as part of the 45S precursor that also contains 18S and 28S rRNA. Lineage: Eukaryota; Viridiplantae; Streptophyta; Magnoliopsida; Malpighiales; Clusiaceae. The record is from RNAcentral.
AAAAUGACUCUCGGCAACGGAUAUCUCGGCUCUCGCAUCGAUGAAGAACGUAGCGAAAUGCGAUACUUGGUGUGAAUUGCAGAAUCCCGUGAACCAUCGGGUCUUUGAACGCAAGUUGCGCCCAAAGCCUUUUGGUUGAGGGCACGUCUGCCUGGGU